This is a long non-coding RNA of Carya illinoinensis, 1444 nucleotides long. RefSeq lists it as uncharacterized. The transcript has 3 exons. The record is from RefSeq and is a predicted model, not a curated record. Lineage: Eukaryota; Viridiplantae; Streptophyta; Magnoliopsida; Fagales; Juglandaceae.
AUAGUGAUAUUUCCCCUUCCUCCCCCCCCCUCCUUUUUCUUUCCUAUUAUUUGGAGUUCCAAUUGAGGUCACCAUGCAACGACAGCAAUCUAGCAGGCCCAUUCCCCAUAUUGUGGUUAAAUGUGCAGACUAUCUCAUAGUAUCUGGAUUAAACUCACUAGACCUUUUGAAGUCUGAAGGAGAUAAAAUGGUCAUUCAACAAUUGGUUUCAAUAUAAAACCAAGAUUCAAAUGCAUCAUUAUCAGAGGGAGUAAAUCCACUUGACAUGGUAGCUCCAAUAAAAUGCUAUGUCGAGUAUAUGUCCUUUUUAUGUCUUUCCUCCAUAUUUACUGCAUUCUUUCAAAACACCAAGAGGAUUAUUUAGUUGAUCAAGUGAGAUAUGCAUCAUAGUCCUACUUGUAAAGAUAAAACCAUCCGAAAGAAAAUUUUUAGCAUCAUUAGAUGCUAUUAAAUGGAAAAUAUGUCCUGAUCUAUUAAAAAAUUCAUACCAUGCAGCAUCUAAACUUAUGGAAUCUAUCUUUGUGCAGUUUUGUCCAUUGACAGUUGUUAAAUCUAGAAUUAUGUGCGUCGUAAGGUAUGCCCCACAUGACAUAAAUUGCUCUUAUUGUCCUGACACAUGCAAAAAAGUCCAUGUAUGAUCUUCCUCUUGUAAUAGAAGUAGAUUAAAAUGACCAACUUGGUAGAUUAAUUAUUCUUAUCACCAUUGUGUCAACUUGGUUUAACUUCCUGAUUUCUCUAUUUUUCAUUAAUACUCCACUAAUCUUAACAAAUACUCCACCUCUCUUAUCUACAAAAAUACUUCUAAAACCCAACAGAAAACAGUGAAUGAAAAACACUAUUUUUUUUAGCAACAAUAUACUUCAUUCUAGAUUGGGAAUAUGUUAUCUGAAGAAGAAAAUGUAUCAUCGUCAGUUUCUUCAUUUUCUCUUGUUAAUCAUACUUUGAGAAACAACCUAAUGUACAAUUGUGGGUCACCUGCUUCACUUAGAACAUCGAACACGCUAAGAAAUCCGGGCCGAUCAUUAUUUGGGUAUUCAAAGUACAAUACGAAGGUACAAAAAAUAAUCAUUUAAUACUUUGAUAGUACCGAUUUGGGUUUGACUAAAAUUUUUGAUAUUGUUACAUUCUCAAUCGUUUGUUUGUUUAUACAUGGGUUACCACAUUGCAACUAUUUCAUAUGAGCAGAUAGCAGUCAGGAAAGAGAUAACAAACUUAUGAAAAUAGAAAUUGAGAUUUUAAGGAAGAAUGAAGAGUUUCAGAAAACACAUGAAGAGUUUCAAAAAACAUAGGAAGAGCUUUAGAAAACACAUGAAGAGUUUCAAAAAGCACAGGAAGAGCUUUGAAAAUUAUUGCAAGUGUUUUGAAAAAGAGAGGAAGAGGUUCAAAAAACUAUGGAAUUUAUUAGACAUUGGAUGGAAGAGGUUCGCCUAAGAGAUGGCAAAAU